GCUGGAGUACAACAGCUCAAUCUCGGCUCACUGCAACCUCUGCCUCCCGGGUUCAAGCAAUUCUCCUGCCUCAGCCUCCUGAGUAGCUGGGAUUACAGGUGCCCGCCACCACGCCCAGCUAAUUAAGACUGGUUAACUUAUAAAGGAAAGAAGUUUAAUUGACUCACAGUUCCACAUGGCUGGGGAGGCCUCACAAUCAUGGUGGAAGGCAAGGAGGAGCAAAGUCAUGUCUUAUGUGGCGGCAAGGAAGAGAGAGAAAUGAGAACAAAGCAAAAGGGGUUUCCCCUUAUAAAACCAUCAGAUCUCAUGAGACUUAUUCAAUACCACGAGAACAGCACAGAGGAAACCGCCCCCAUGAUUCAACUAUUUCCUCACUGAGUCCCUCCCGCAAGUGGGAAUUAUGGGAGCUACAAUUCACGAUGAGAUUUGGGUGGGGACACAGCCAAACCAUAUCAACAGAUGAAUGGCUAAGCAAAAUGUGGCCUAUCCAUACAGUGGAAUAUUGCUCUGCCUUAAAAAGGAAGGAAAUUCUGACACAUGCUACGCGUGGAUAGACAUUCAGGAUCUCGUGCUAAGUGCAACGAGCCAGUUAUGAAAGGACAGAUACUGUAGGAUUCCACUUAUAGGAGGCACCUGGAGUGAGAUGCAUAGAGUCAGAGAGUGGAAUGGUGGGUGCCAGGGGCUGGGGGAGGGGCAAAUGGGGGGUUAGUGUGGAGUUCUGGUUGGGAAGAUGAAAAAGUUCUGGAGCUGAAUGGUGGGGAUGGUCACACAACAAUGCACUUAAUGUCACUGGACUGUAUACUUAAGAAUGGCUAAAAUGAUAAAUUUUACGAUAUACAUAUUUCACCACAAUAAAAGUUAAAAAGAAUAAUUUAGAUAAACCCUGGGAAGGUGUUCAUCAAGGUUUCCAAAAUGCCAGGUGGUCCUGGUCUUAGUCAGGUGUCUGGAUGGAGAAUGCUGGUGCCCCAACUCCUCCUCCUGUCUGUGCCCACACGCAGUGCUGGGCCGGACACUUGUCUGUCCUGAGGGGAAUGUGCAGCCUCUGGGCCUCCCUGGAGAGAACAGGUGAAGGAAUGCCUGGGGCUCUCUCUGUGCCCUCCUCGGGAGGAAACGGGACCCAGGCGAUCUUGGACAGAAGCAGGGUCCCGAGCAGGGGAUCACUAGCUGCUUCCGUCCGUCUCUCUUCGGCCCUCCUGUCUGCCAGCUGCACCUCUGCUCUCUUCCAAGGGGCAGCCCCCACCAGGGGCAGUUGUCCAGCUCUUGUGCCUGGGCCGGCACUGGCAAGUUCAUUUCCAUGGGCAUAAGCAGUCUCCAUUCUGGCUUGGCAGCAAUAAACCUGGCACUGGAUGUUGUCCUGGUCCAUACAUAUGUGCCAAUCGGUCCAGACUCCUAGAGCUCAACAAAUGGUCCUGUGAGAGCCUGGCGCUGUGUGAGCCCGGGAAGGCAGUGCAGUGCAGUGGCCAGGUCAUGUCACCCAGGCUAGGGCUUGGCCUUCUGGGGAGCACAGCGAGGGAUGGCCUGCCCUAAGGAAGGCCCUCUCUGAGGUGGGGAUGGUUUUCCAGGGUUCCCUGGGCUCCCAGGUGCUCCCUCCUCCCCUGUACCCCACUCUUCCAUACCCCGGGGCUCAUCCCUUCUCCACUUGGGUCCUUGUUCCACUGAAAAUCUCCCCCUACCCUCCCAUCUCAUGGUUUUCUUCCUCCCCGCUGGCUCUGCCUUCCCUUCAACCAGCACCAAUGCCAAAAUCAGCACCAGGAGCUGCCAUUCAUAUCGUCUCUACCAUAUGCCCAUUUGAAUCCUUAUUGACAAGCUUGUGACCUUUGUCAAAUUAGUGACCUAUCUGAGCCUCAGUUUCCUUUCCUGUAAAAUGGGCACAUUAAUACCUAUUUUACAGAUGGUUGUGAGAUGGGUCGUGCCUGACACCAUUUGGCGCUCAGCCAACUCUUGUUUGUUUCGUCGAUUCUGCUGGGUUGCCUGGCAUUUUGAUUUAUCUUUAAUUCAUACCUUUGAAUCUGCUGUAAACUUGGCAGCCACAUCACCAAGCUCGUUAGAUUGCAGGUUGGGAAGCCUAAUUAGGUUCUAAGGAGGUUAGAAAUCUGUCCUCAGGGACAAGUUCUCAAGCUUUAGAAUGUGGACUCAUGACGUCAUUUUGGUCCCUGGAGGCAUUCUUCUCUAGCUGUAUGUGGGAAGCUCUGUGUUCCAGGCUGUGAGGCUGCCAGGCAACAAAGUUUCCCAAGUCUCAAGGAGCCAUGUUGUGAGUGUUUGACAGCCAGGUCUUGGAAAGGAAGGCCAACAUGCCCUGGGCUGAUCAGACUCCAUCAUGUUGACUCCUGGGAGGCACAUUUUUGAGAAACAAUUAGGAACCAGGAAGCAUUCUGAGGAGGAAAGCCAGGAUAAAGAAGACUCAGAUAAAAAAGUCAUCCCACCAGGUCUGGAUGCAGUGUGACUGUAUCAGUCAGCUUUUGCUGGGUUAUGCCAAGUAACAAACAGGAUUCAGGCUGAAAGAUCAGCUAUGAAACUGCUGGUUUUGAGGCACAGGAAAAAGAGUGAUGGCAGAACUGAGAAAUGACUUUAAAGCCUCUGCUCAGAAGUGGCUUAUAUCCCUCUGUUCACAUUUUAUUGGCCACAGAGAAUCACAUGAUCAAAUAUGUCUUCAGACUUGAUGGGCUUAGGGAGAUACCAUGCUCCCACAGGGAGGGGUGGUAACUAUUUGGCCAGCACAGAGUAGAUACCAACAGUUAUUAAACUGUUUGUUGAAUGAAUGAAUAGAUGAAUUCUCUGAUCCUGGAAGGAUUUAAAUAAAGAAUGGAUGACCAUUUGUAUUACCUA
Molecule: long non-coding RNA, 2826 nt
Organism: Homo sapiens (human)
Lineage: Eukaryota; Metazoa; Chordata; Mammalia; Primates; Hominidae
Exons: 2
Source: RefSeq, a predicted model, not a curated record